This 482-nucleotide ribosomal RNA is filed under the name uncultured bacterium. RNAcentral describes it as "partial 16S ribosomal RNA". It matches the Rfam family "Bacterial small subunit ribosomal RNA", at positions 28 to 523 of the family's 1533-position model. The record is from RNAcentral.
GACGAACGCUGGCGGCGCGCCUAACACAUGCAAGUCGAACGAGAGAGGAAGAGCUUGCUUUUCCGAUCGAGUGGCGAACGGGUGAGUAACGCGUGAGGAACCUGCCUCAAAGAGGGGGACAACAGUUGGAAACGACUGCUAAUACCGCAUAAGCCCACGGCUCGGCAUCGAGCAGAGGGAAAAGGAGCAAUCCGCUUUGAGAUGGCCUCGCGUCCGAUUAGGUAGUUGGUGAGGUAACGGCCCACCAAGGGGACGAUCGGGAGGCGGAAUGAGGGGUUGCACGGCCACCUUGGGACUGAGACACGGCCCAGACUCCUACGGGAGGCAGCAGUGGGGAAUAUUGCACAAUGGGGGAAACCCUGAUGCCGCGACGCCGCGUGGAGGAAGAAGGUCUUCGGAUUGUAAACUCCUGUUGUUGAGGAAGAUAAUGACGGUACUCAACAAGGAAGUGACGGCUAACUACGUGCCAGCAGCCGCCGCCG